RNAcentral lists this long non-coding RNA (442 nucleotides) under Heterocephalus glaber (naked mole-rat). RNAcentral's name for it is "lncRNA (ENSHGLG00100025234.2)". The record is from RNAcentral. Lineage: Eukaryota; Metazoa; Chordata; Mammalia; Rodentia; Bathyergidae.
CCCCUACACAACUCCCAGAAACAAAACCGCCUAACUUCGUGGCUCCAGUGGAAUCUCUCAGGUGAGUCCAGCCCAAGAUUCUGACUCACAGAAGAUUUGAUGUCAUGAAGUGGAAAUGGCCAAAGAUCCAGUAAGAAUGAUGUAAAGUCCAAUUAUCAUGCAAAGACAUUCUGGAGAAUUGCAAAGUGAGUGAAGCCAGAAGAGGAGCACUUCAAAAGCCCUUUGGAGACACGGAAUCACAGCUCUGUGAGGGCCAGAGCUAUGGAAAUCGGAGGAAAUUGGACUUCACCGUGUUGGUGGCACACCCUGCCACCCUUGCCAGGAAAGGAAACGGGAAAAGGAAUCUGAGAAACCUCAGGACAAUUACAGUUCAUUUCCAUACCCUGACUGACAAUGUACUACCUCCUGCUACGGACCGACGUAAGCCUCUUGUCACACCAAG